ACGAAGGGUGCAAGCGUUACUCGGAAUUACUGGGCGUAAAGCGUGCGUAGGUGGUUUGUUAAGUCUGCUGUGAAAGCCCCGGGCUCAACCUGGGAAUGGCAGUGGAUACUGGAUGGCUUGAGUCUGGGAGAGGGUAGUGGAAUUCCUGGUGUAGCGGUGAAAUGCGUAGAUAUCAGGAGGAACACCGGUGGCGAAGGCGGCUACCUGGCCUAAGACUGACGCUGAGGUGUGAAAGCGUGGGGAGCGAACGGGA
RNAcentral lists this ribosomal RNA (253 nucleotides) under uncultured prokaryote. RNAcentral describes it as "partial 16S ribosomal RNA". It matches the Rfam family "Bacterial small subunit ribosomal RNA", at positions 525 to 777 of the family's 1533-position model. The record is from RNAcentral.